Non-coding RNA from Cercophora newfieldiana, 91 nucleotides. The record is from the annotation of a GenBank genome assembly. NCBI's taxonomy places the organism in Eukaryota, Fungi, Ascomycota, Sordariomycetes, Sordariales, Lasiosphaeriaceae.
GCCCGGCUAGCUCAAUCGGUAGAGCGUGAGACUCUUAAGGUCUCUGUGAUUUGACAUCUUAAGGUUGUGGGUUCGACCCCCACGUCGGGCU